RNAcentral lists this ribosomal RNA (520 nucleotides) under uncultured bacterium. Its description in RNAcentral is "bacterial SSU rRNA". It matches the Rfam family "Bacterial small subunit ribosomal RNA", at positions 8 to 518 of the family's 1533-position model. The record is from RNAcentral.
AGAGUUUGAUCAUGGCUCAGGAUGAACGCUAGCUACAGGCUUAACACAUGCAAGUCGAGGGCAGCGGGAAGUUAGCUUGCUAACUUGCCGGCGACCGGCGCACGGGUGAGUAACGCGUAUCCAACCUUCCCCUUAGUAGGGCAUAGCCCGGCGAAAGUCGGAUUAAUACCCUAUGUUUUCCGAUGAGGACAUCUGAGCUGGAAUAAAGAUUCAUCGCUAAGGGAUGGGGAUGCGUCCGAUUAGCUUGUUGGCGGGGUAACGGCCCACCAAGGCGACGAUCGGUAGGGGUUCUGAGAGGAAGGUCCCCCACACUGGUACUGAGACACGGACCAGACUCCUACGGGAGGCAGCAGUGAGGAAUAUUGGUCAAUGGGCGCGAGCCUGAACCAGCCAAAGUAGCGUGCAGGAUGACGGCCCUAUGGGUUGUAAACUGCUUUUAUAGGGGAAUAAAGUUUCCUACGUGUAGGAUUUUGUAUGUACCCUGUGAAUAAGGACCGGCUAAUUCCGUGCCAGCCGCGGC